Molecule: long non-coding RNA, 12623 nt
Filed under: Cricetulus griseus (Chinese hamster)
Lineage: Eukaryota; Metazoa; Chordata; Mammalia; Rodentia; Cricetidae
Description: lncRNA (ENSCGRG00015032869.1)
Source: RNAcentral
CCCACUUCCUGUGCAGAAAGUACCCUGUCACAGAGGCUUGAAGGACACAGAUCAAUCAAACUUUCAGAGAAAGCUUUCCAAAAAUUUUAACCAUGAUUUCAGCUAUGUCCCAAUCUUACAAAACAAGAAGCACAAUGCAGUGUGGAGGCAAGGAAUAGGAAAAGUCAAUGGUGGUGGGAUUUGCUGUGUGAGAAGACACACACACACACACACACACACACACACACACACACACACACACACAAAUAAAAGAGGAAGGAAGAUGGGGGCACAGGAGUUGUGGGUGAUGAGGGAAACAGGUUUGAAUUGUGGAUUGCUACUACCAUGGCUGGCCACACACAUUCAUUCUCUGGAGUAAUCAUGAAAUGUAGAGAGAAAAUGCAAAGCAAGGAAGGAUAAACACUUUGGUGGAAAAGGACAUUUAAUAGGAAGAAAUGUCUAUAAAGGGGUUUAAAAAUAACUUUUCCUUCUCGAAAAUCUGCUGUUUCUUUACAGAUCUCAGCUCAGAGCAAGGUUCCCUUUGUCCUGGACUUCUCUGUUUUCUGAACUCAAGAUUAAACACACACACACACACACACACACACACACACACACACACACACACACACACACACACCUUGGAAGCAAUUAAUAAGCAGCUUGUAUAACACCCACAUGAUGAGCACUGUCCAGUAGCAGCUAAAUUCAGUGAAGUAGACGAAUGUAUUAACAAGGAAAACAAAGUUCCAAAAUGUUUAAUGGGAAAAAAAUCCUUCAGGAUGAUGCAAAAUUCCAGAAACAUAUCAUGCAUUGAAAGAUUAAAAUCCAGAGUUAAUAAUUUUCAUGAAAAAUCGUAAAUAGCAAAUGCAUGAUAUAGAGUAUCUUUAGGGAGAUAGUAAGGAGAACACAACUGGGUUGAGGUGUGUGGAAGAGAAGACAUUUCUGUUUGUAGUUUUGUGUUACUGCCUUUCUUCUCUGUUAGAAACAGAAAAUUUCCCAGCAUUCUAAAAGGACUCAUGGCUACCUAAAGAUGUAAUUAUUUUUUCCAGCUUCCCUUGCAGCUAUGCAUGGUCCAGGACUAAAUCCUUGCCAAGGUAAUGCAAUGAAAAUGUUCCAUUUCUUUAGAGGAAACUUGUUUUAGUUCUCUAUCCCUUCUCCCAUGUGCUAGAAUAUGGAUGAACUGCUAGUAGUCCAGCCUCAACUCUCAGCCCACAAAUGUUAUCCAAACGGAAUUUAAGAGUCUAGUUUAUAUUCCCAUGGUUUGUCUCUCUCAUCAAUUCACUCAGCAAGUAAUUACUGAACACAUACUAUGUACGGCAACCUAAGUGAGGUAUUAGGGACAUGGUGGUAAGGAAGCUCCUGAUGGAGCAUGUGUUUGAUCCUAAAAUCUCUGCACUUGAACUUGCUCAUGAGCAGCCUCUGUGUCCCUUCCGUGUGUGUGUGUGUGUGUGUGUGUGUGUGUGUGUGUGUGUGUGUGUUCAUGUGUGUGGGGUGAGUAUGCAUGCAUGUAUGCAGGUGUGUAGGCACACAGCAUGUGGGUAUGAGUGCCUGUAGGUGCACAUAUAUGUGGAGGUUGAUUCUAAAAUCAUCCUCAAUUGCACUUCUACCUUAUUCAAUGAGAAGCAGGAUAGCUCAGACCGACCCAGAGCUCACCAAAGCAGCUGGUUUCACUAGCCUGCUUCCUCCUGGGAUUCCUUGUCUCAGAGUUUUACCUUGUGAGGUUGGAAUUACAGGCAGCUGCCCCACCUAUCUGGUAUUUAUAUGGGCUCUGGGAAUCCCAACUCCAGUCCUCACACUUGGAAGGACUUAACUACCGAGCUUUCCCCAGCCCAGUUUCUAUUUUUAUUCUAAACUUAACUCGUGUUGAAAGAACACUGCCCAGGGGCACUGAUUUCCACUGAUUCAACCCAAUUAAAACAAUUCAGACUGAGUUUUUGAGGAGGACUUUUGGGAGUUUUUUUUUUUUUUUCAAGAGUUUUAAAGUUUGUUCUGAUUCUUUAAGAAGGUAUUUGAUUAUUAAGAAAUACGUAACACACAAAAGUGAGUAAAAGUCGUCUGAAUGGAGAAGAAUAAGAAAAAUGAGCAGUAAAGAGUCUAUGAAAGAGUGAGAAGUGACCGGUUACGAGAGACUUAUCAGGUAGUAUACAUCUCUCAAGUACCACCCCAGCCAUCGAUACUGUUGGGUGCAUGAUUUGAUUUAUGUGGUAGUAACCAAUUAAUUUUUACUGUUAUAUUUUAUUUUAAUCAGGUGAACAUUGUCGUAGGGUUUCUGUUGUGGUGAUAAAUACCAUGACUGGAAGCAACCCUGGGGAAAAGGUGUUGUUUCAGCUUCCAUGUCUUGAUCACACUCUCACUAAGACAAGCCAGUGCAGGAACUCAAGGCAGGUACCUGGAGGCGGGAGCUAAAGCCAUGAAGGAGUGCUGCUUACUGGCUUGCUGCUCAUAGCUUACCCAGUCUAUCUACUUUCUUACACAACUCAGGAUGACCAGCCUAGGAAUGACACCACCCGCAGUAGGCUGGACCAUUCCACAUCAAUCAUCCAUCAAGAAAACAUGUCACAGACUUGCCUACAGGCCACUAUUACAGAGGGAGGCAUUUUCUUAACUGAGGUUUGCUCUUUCUCACAUAACUGGCUUGUGCCGAGUUGACAUAAAACUAGCUGGCAAAAAUAUAUUGCAGUUUGUUUAUUUCUCUGCAGAGGGUCAGUGAGGUCAUUUUCUGUUGACGGCUGUGAAGAGCAAUCUUGUGAAAGAUCAUUUCCCUUGCAGGUUAGAGUUUCUCCCAGGUAUUUAGGAAGUGCUUAGGAAUAGAGUCCUAGGGGUGUGGGGCCUGUCUGCCCAAUCCUGCUUCCUAACAAACGUCAAGCUAACUCUGGCCAGGUGGUUGGAUGUCUUUAGAUUGUCACCAGCAGUGUGUAAGAGUCAACACUUUGACUUUGCUGAAAUUGUAAUGUUUCCAUUUAAAUGUUCAUGGACUACUUUCUUAUUGUGGUUCUAAUUUAUGGUUUUGUAUCCCCCCUUUUCUUUUUUUCUGAUCACCUUAAGGUUAGGCAGCUUUGCACAUAAACUGGGUCAUUUGUGGUACCUUAUCUAUGAGAUGCCCGUGUUUUCCCUUUUCAAAGUCGUGUGUGGGGGAGCAUGUGUGUGUGAAGUGCGAUUUUUGUGUCCACUUUCCCUUUUCAAUUCUGGGAUUUUGUCUGGUUUGAACCUGUGUUUGGGUCUUGUGUGUGCUGUCAGUCUCCAUGAGGGGAUAGGUACAUCAGGCCUAUUGUGUCUGGAAGCCAAAGUCAGUUUUUAUUUUAAUAUGAUGACAUGUCUUUAUAUUAUGGGGUUUAUUGUUAGGGAAAAUCUCUGUACUUUGAGGUUUAAAAGCAUUCUAUAUCUUAUCCUACAGUUUCCAUGAUUUGACCUUUCGAAUUUGUCUUACAUCUAAAAGCAGUAACUGAUUUUUAUAUACAAUAAGGGUUAAUCAUUAAACCUAUUUAUUGUCUUGUAGAUAACCAAUUAUGUUCUUCAGAACAGUAGGGCAGGGAGCAGGGAGAACAAGGCUGAACUGUCAUGACCCCUCCUACUGAUCUCUAAUUCCUGCUUCAGAUUUUUUGAAUGAGAUUAUUUUAGAGUUCAAAUUUGUUCAUUACUCAUCUUAUAUAAUGCCAAUAAUACACUGUCCCUUUAUAGGGAAGUGCUUAGGAAUAGAGCAGGCCCAUCUCUCCAAUUUUAUCCUCCAAAGGUCAUGACAUGCAUCCUAUAGGCUCAGGCCAGCACCUACUUCACACUUGCCACAGGUCUGGGCCUGGUGUCUUCCCAGCAAGUGAGCUGUGUUCUCAGCCCUGAGCUUCUUCAGCCAAAACAGGCAAAGCAUCAGCUCUUUCUCUACCUGUUUUUCUACUCAGGGCACUGGUUAGGGAUCGUCAAUCUGACACAAUGCUCAGGGUGCUGGUUAGGGAUUGUCAACCUGACACAAUGCUCAGGGCACUGGUUAGGGGUUGUCAACCUGAUACAAUACUAAGCUGCUGGUUAGGGGUUGUCAACUGACACAAUGCUCAGGGUGCUGGUUAGGGAUGGUCAACCUGACACAAUGCUCAGGUUCUGGUUAGGGGCUGUCAACCUGACACAAUGCUCAGGGUGCUGGUUAGGGGCUGUUCAACCUGACACAGGCUAAAGUCACAUGGGAAGAGAGGCCCUCAAUUGAGCCACUGCCCAGAUGGUAAGUCUUUGAGAAAUUGUAUUGGUUGAUAACUGAUGUGGGAGGGGCCCUGGCCACUGUGGGAAGCACCAGUCUUACAUAGGUAGUCUGGGCUAUAGAAGGAAGCUAGCUGAGCAUGGGCCAGAGAGUAAGCCAUCCAGUGGUGCUCCUCCAUGGUUUCUGUCUUCUGGGUCCUUGAGUCCUGCCUUGAUGUCCCUCAGUGACAGACAGUGACCUGGAAGUGUAAGACCUCCAGACAUCUAUGGUUAACUAGUGGCUAGCUCUACCCUGUGAUCUCCAGGCAAGCUUUAUUUGUCAGAACACGAAACACCACAACAAUAAGGAGGAAAGAUCUUGCUUCUUGGUAUUUAUGCCGAAGUACAUAAAGAAUGCUGGGGAGCCCUCGUUCUCAAAAACUAAGCAGGCUUUUAGCUGUUGGGAUCCCAUAAAACUCAAAAGGACAAAUAUGACCUACACUUGUUUUGCUGAAGCCAAUUUUCACAACCUGGUAUUUAAGUUGAGCUCAGGGACAUUUGAGUAAUCCCACAGGCUCUCUGGGCUCUGGUAUUCAUCUGCAUCUUAGUUUUCUGCUUGGGGAUUUUGGAUCACAACUGCCAACCUGGGAAAACCACAUCACUUACACGAGAUUAAGCAGUCCCUAAUUAGUUUUCCUGACCCUCUUGUAUACCAAUAAAUGGCCCAUUUACAGGACAUUAAAACAGAAUUCUUUCCAUUAAAAAUGACUUCCUUGCUAGUGAACAAGACCUAGGUUUAACACACAUGUUAGUUAACAUGAGGUUGUCCUAAUGUACAGUGGACACUUUCCAGUGGGAAGUGAUUGGAGGACUAAUUAGGAUUCUUGGCUCGGUCAAUUAACUGGGAGGGGAGUCUCUCUACGGUGAUGUAAAUAUUGCUUAUAUUCUUAGUUUGUUUUGGGCCUAUUACGUUUUGAACCAAAGAGCUAGAGACUGAAGUGAAAUCCUAUUACAAGCUUUGGAAAAUGAUGAGCCUAAAAAGGCAUUUUAUAUGACAUCAUCAGGUCAGUUUUAAAGUUUUAUUUAGAUAUGCAAAUGCAGUAGCCACUUCUUUUGGAUUCUGACGCACACCUCAUCCUAUCGAAAGCACUGUGAGUCCCUUGGUGUGCAUAGUAGGCAUCUCAUGAUUAGUCUAGGGAACUGCACUAUUUUGAGGGGUGAUUGCUGUUUAUAGCACUAAGUCUGUUUUGCCUAAGAAAGCCAAUUACAGAACAGUGAGAACAUAUGUAGAGAAGAAAGAGCUUAGCUAGGAGGGCGAAUCUCCACUUCCCCUUCCUAAGGGUGUUUGUGGGGUAAAGAAAAAGGGUGGUAUGGGCAUUGAGAAAGGUAUUUACAAGUGAGAGAAAGCAAGAUUUGAUGUCAGCCGGGGGAGGGGGGUGGUAUCUGUGGCACCUUUCUAUACCCGUGCUUUGAAAUGCCCCAGCUAAGCACAUUUUAUAGAUGACUGUUUGCUCUUCAGCAUCCAAACACUGUCACUGGACAUUUGCACAGGCCUGGGUGGUGGAUUUUUGGUUUCAAAUCAGGUUGGAACUCCCUUUGAGUUCCUGAAAGCAAUUAAGCAGCCGUGAUGAUUUCGACCCAGACACUUGGGAGUCAUUUCCAGGUGGGUGAGUGGCCUUGUUUUGUGGCUGCCAUUCCUAGCCAGAUUUCCACACCAGCAGGUCAUAAGUCAAUAUGAGUUACAGUAAAGGAUGGGGGAGGUGACUCUGAAGACUCUCGGGAACCCGGGUUCCUGACCAGGAAAAGAAGGAUGCCCCGAAGGAAGGGGAUUCCUUGUCUUUGGUGUGCUGUGGGAACUUAAAUAGGCACCCGUAGCCAUGACUUUGACCUGAGGUGUCCCAAGAAAGCAAAACACCAGUUUGGUUUCUACAUAGGGAAACUAGAAUAGGUGAGUGAAGAAAGAGAUACAAAUUUCAAUAUGACCAUAGGACCAAUUCAAGCAGUUGGCUCUCUGCAAUAUUUUGAACACGAAAUACCCUCAAAGUCAUACACACACAGGCAUGUGUUGCUGUUUGAUUCCAGCUGGUGGCACUAUUUAUGAUGGUGAUGGAAAUGAUAGGCUACAGGGCCAACCUGGCUGAGACAGGCCACUGGAGCAGUGUCCACAGACCCUUGCUUGACCUCGCCUGGCUGCUCUAAGUUGGGAGAACCGCUAUCACUAUCUGUUCUCUUGCCAUGGUGUUCUGCCCAAGCGUCUAGGACCAGAAAAAGAAACAGGUAGGAUCUUGUGAGACUGGACAAGUAGCUCUCCUGUGGAGAAGAUUUGAAGGUAUCUUAAUAAUAUAAGAGAGCUUUCUAAUGUUGGUGGGCUAGAACAUAGCUGCACAGCACUGGGUACACUUUGUAAGACUCAGAAACUCUGUUCUGGUGACCUAUAAAUAAAGUACUCUAGAGGUGGGAUCAGAAAUUCAAGGUUAUUUUCAGUCACACAAUGAGUUUGAGGCCAGCUUGGGAUCACAAGGCAUGUUCUAAGGAAAAACAAAACAGCACAAAGGAGAAAGGAAGAAGGAAAGAAAGAUUGAAGAUGGCUCUAUCUUCUACAAAGAGAUACUUUACAGACAACAUCUAUAGAAACUCAGUCAAUCCUUUACCUGUUUUCUCCAUCUGUAGCCAAACCAAGAACCUCUUCCCUGCAAUAGAUCAGUGGUACUCUGGUGUAGUCUAGUCAAGAUCCAGACGACCCCGAGCUCUGAGUUAUUAUUGUCCUUCCGUGAUUGCUCUGCUGGCAGGGGUGUGUUCACUGGAAAGUGAUCUUUCCAGUCAUGCAUGGCACAUGCAUUCUGUGCUCCCUUGAGUAGCAGCAUCACAGCCCUGAUUGUGGUUUGGUGUGUGGUCCAUGAAUCACACUUUGUGCUUGGACAACAGAAGCACAACCCCCUUCUGGAGCCCAGCAGAGAGAACCAGCUGUUCAAACUCUGGCCCUGUCAAGGGGCAGAAACUGCUCCAGGUUCACUCCUGGUGAAUGUUGCUUUGUUUCCAGAGUAAACUCAGCCCACCACUGUGUAUUUCCAAACAGUAGUAGAAGAAGGGCUCCAUCUCCUCCAUCUUCCCAGACCUACAGGAGCUCAGUUUCAAUAUUCAGCUUCAUGCUCAACUGGCACAGAUUGGCAAGCCAUGCCUGAAAGUCACCAUCAUCUUUGGGUUUUGCCAUAGUUAUUAUGUAUUUUUCCUCCAAGUUGUGUGCAUGCCCUUCAGGUUGCUUUCCUUCCAGCAGUCUAUAGAGAGGCUGCAGAUAAGGUUUCUGUGUGCCUCCCCACUCAUCACAACAUUUUCCAUCCGUCCUGAUUCAGUUCUAAGCCUCUCUUGAUUAAAGGAUCUUUGUUGUACUCUUAAGUUUUUUGAUUAAAAUGGAAUUAAAUUGUAAAUCAAUUCCACUAUUUUCCCCAAUGUCUUUCAUCUCUCCAGCUCUUUCCAUAUGAACAUCCCAUCACAUGCUGCCUAAUUCAUGGCCUAUCUAUCUAUCUAUCUAUCUAUCUAUCUAUCUAUCUAUCAUCUCCUGCUCAACCACAAGGACAUGUUUAAAGAAAGCAACAGCAAUAACCAACCAACCCUCUGACCACUGAGUAGACUUGAAGUUAUAGGAUGUUGCUAUGAUGAUGGUUACUCUGAUAGACAGGAUUAUAUAUUAGCCUAUGCCUGCUUGAGUUGUUCUGUACCAACCCAAUUCUCACCUUCUGUCUUUCUUUCUGGACAGAGAAACCCCCAAAAUAUCCCAGCUGGUCACAAGCCUCUACCAUAGACAGUCUCUUGGUCGAAUGAUGCUUCCAAUUGGAUUAGUCUCAUCAGGAGCAAGGAUGUGUGUCCUGGGACCCAAGUUUCAAAGCAUCUACAUGGUGAGAACCAAUGCUAUGUGGGGGACUUUGGUUUUCAAGCUGUUCGGGAAAGGAGUUGCUGCUGAAAAGGAGAUUCUCAUCUCAUUCAGUCACAUGAAGUCUGUUCUGGAAGUCAGGCUUAUAUCUCUUUACAGAAUAAUGCAGUAGACAAGAUGAAUGCUCUAUUGGUGUAAAGCAGGCCCCUGAACAUGGGAGUACACAGGUUGGAGAAUGUGACAUUUCAAUGUUCUUCUGAUGUUCCUGUGUGGCAGAAGAGCGCCAUUGUUUCUCUCUGUGUUAAAGAUGUCCUUAUCCAUUCAUUCAGUCUGCUACAACAAAACCCUGGAGGCAGGAGCCUUCUAACCUAUGGACUCUCAUUUCUUACAGCCCCUGUAGGCAGAAGGUUAAUGAAAUCCCACAAGGAUGCACCAUAAAUAUACACAGUAAAUAUCAUUUUAUACACCCCAGUAUAGGCCAUAUACUUAUUUUCUGGAGAGCAGUGAAAGGUAAGUACAAAAGGCUCCAGACAAACACGAAUUCUGAGCUCAUGUGAGGUUGAAGCCAAAUCACUCGGGUCAAAGGGACAGUCUACAGAGGAAGGUAGAAGAACAAGUCUAACUGGGCCAAUGCUGACUCACAGAGGGUCCUGUGGGUUCAUGCAGCCAAGCUGGGGUCACCUGUCGAGUCUCCUGAAAGUAUAUCUGAGAUGGAUAGAUAGGCUAUAAUGUUGGCAGAGGCCCAUUGUUGGUUCUGUGACCUGUGGUGUAGAAUCUAUUAGGAUAGGAAGGACGCUUCGGGAAUUUGUGUAUCUGCCCCCAUCGUUUAGCUAAUAGAGUGAGUCAGCAGGAAUGUUCUAUCCCCAAACGAAUCACAGAGACUGGCACUUGUAUUAGCUACUUUUUCUUGUUGAUGUUUCAAGAUCCCUGACUGAAGCAAUUCAGGAACGAUCCAUUGAGGUAAAAGGGAUACAGUUUGUUAUGGUGGGGGAAGAAUACAGCUGGAGAAUGGGGUAGUUAUUCCUAUUGUUUCUACAGUCACUAAGCAGAGAGAGGUGAAUUCUUGCUUUCUCCUUCUUCCCUUUUUAUUCACUUCAGGAUGCCAGCCCAUUGGAUGAUACCACUAUGCACAGGGUGGGUCUUCCCGCCAAAGUAAAUCUCUGUAGAAAUGACAACCAGACAACUCAAAGAUGUCUCUGCUAGGUUAUUUUAAAUGCAGUUGGCUGACAAUGAAGGUAUGCAUUACACUAAACUUAAGGGCGUGAAGGCAGUCUCCUCGUGUCUCCACUCUCCCCCUGUUCUGCUUGCCCCUUCACCCUCUGCAGAUAGAGGACACAAGAGGAUCACUGCACAUUUAAUAUCCCCGUGCCUGUGUACAUGACAUAUACAGACGGUCUCCAAGCCAGAAGCCACUGGGUUUGUACACUGCACCAGAGACUGGAGACAGUGAGAAUAAUACUAGGAAAAUGAGGAAAGAUCAUCUGGGGUAGAUGUUCGAGAGGGGCACAGGUGACCAAGUGUUUGUUUCACACGUGGGAGGCCACCAGAAACCAUCUGCUUCUGCAGAAGCCACAAGAACCCAGGUGGGUGUGUGGCUUUGUUUUAUCUUUGUUUUUGCUUUUUGGGUUUUUUGAGACAGGGUUUCUCUGUGGCUUUGGAGGCUAUCCUGGAAAUAGCUCUUAUAGACCAGGCUGGUCUCGAGCUCACAGAGAUCUGCCUGCCUCUGCCUCCCGAGUGCUGGGAUUAAAGGUGUGCGCCACCACCACCCAGCAAAAAACUGUUAGUGCUCUCAUUUCUAGCUGGAUUUCCACACCAGAAGGUCAUCAGGGAAGAUGUGUUACAGUAAAGACUGGGGGAGGUGACUCUGCAGACUCUCAGGAACCUGGGUUCCUGACCAAGAAAAGAAGGAUGUCUCGAAGGAAGGGGAUUCCUUGUCUUCACUUGGGCCUUUGGUGUACUGUGGGAAUUUAAGCUGGCUAUUGUAGGCACCAUCUUGGCAAGUGACUGGAGACCUUCCCAAGGGCACGAUAGACCUCUUGAGGGCAGAAACACCAUCAGUCAGAUUUCUGCAUAGGGCAAUUAAAAUGGGUAAGUGAGGAAAGGGAUUUGUAUUUCAAUAUAUCCAAAGGACAUGUUAAAGAAGUUGGACCUCUGAAACAUUUUGAACAUCAAAUAGUCCCACAGGCAUACACACAGUCGCGUGUUGCUGUUUCGUCCAGGCUGGUGGCAGCAUUUUUGGUAGUAAUGGAUACUUUGGGAGGUGGGGCCGAGACAGGCCACUGGAGUGGGGGCCACAGACCAAUGUUUGCUCUGCCCUCAUUCCUGUCUGCUGUAAGGCUGCUGGGAAGCUCAAUCUCUACCUACUUCUAUUGAUGCAGUGUCUGUCCAAGCUUCUACACCAGGUGAGCAGGAUUUGAACCCUGUGAAACUGUCACCUAAAACAUCUUUCCACUCCUAGACAAUCCUCCCAGGUGUCUGGUUCGUAGCUAUAAACCCCUUUCUAAGUUGCAGAAGAAGAAACAGGCAGGAUCUCGAGAGACUGGACAAGCAGCUCUCCUCUGGAGAAGAUAUGAGGAUAUCUUAAUCAUAUAACUGUAACGAUAAGUCUUUACUCCAUCCGCCCAAGCCCCGCCACCACGUGGGCGCCCAGAAUAACACACAGAGUCUUAUACUAGUUUACAACGCUGCUGGCCAAUUGACUAGGAUUUCUUACUUGCUAGCUCAGUCUUAAGUUUCAACCAUAAAAACUCAUCUUAUCGGACACCAGCUGCAGGUGUCUUCUCUUGCAGGGAUCACAUGGUGGCUCCAUAGAGAAGAGAGCAGGAGGAAGAGGAAGAGCAAGAGAGAGCUAUUUCCUGUUUAUAUUCUGAGUCUGACUGCUAUGUCACUUCCUGCUUGGAUCUUUACUACAUUUCCCAGAAUCCUCCUUGACACCUAGUCCCACCUAUCUUGCUUUCCUAUUGGCCAACAGUACUUUAUCAACCAAUGAGAGAAUCAUAUACACAGAAGGACCUCCCCCAUCAUGUAACAGAGCCUUUUAUUGUUGGUGGGCUUGAAUAUAACUGAGUAGCACUGAGUAUGCUUUAUUAGACACAGUUCAUGUGCCAUCCCACACCAGCUUGUCUCUCUGGCCUCUACAUAGGAUGCUCACCCAUUUUUCUCAUUUUACAUCUCUGUUGGACCUAGCAAGUGCCUCCUGCAUGCUGGCCUCUGGUCUUAGCACGUCACCCAUCUCCUCACACUUCCAGGUGUUUUUAAUAUUUCCCAGAGGUAUAGUUCUGGGCAUCAGAAUUCCAUAAAACCACAGAAGCUCAGUGCUGAUGGCAAGUAUGAGUGGGGAGUUAAUGCCAUCUUCUCCAUUGGCUACUGAGUGGGGACAGGAAGCCAGGAGGGACAUGUGGGCUUCACUCUACUAAUGAGAGACAAUGGGCACUUUGUCCAGAUAUGCAUCUUCUGUCUUUUUGCCAGCAGAACAUCCACUCUGUCUUGAUAGGAGCCAUUGCCUGGGCUUCCUUGCAAAGCUGGUGUCAGCUCAGUAACAGAUGCUCUUAGGCUUCAUUUCUCCCCUCCCUGCCUCAGUUUUAUUCCCACUCUUUUCUGGGUAAGGUGUUAGAACUUACACGUUACAUUAAACUCUGAGUUCUCAGAACACCUUGGCUAAGGUGCCAUGACUGAGUCAUGUUGAAGGUUGACUAUGGGUUGAAGGUUAAAGGUAGACAGUAAAAAGUGAUUGGUGGGUAUAUGAUAUUCUCUGGGAGGAGAUUUUCACAUUUGAUUUUGAGGAGGAUGAAGAGGAUCAGAAUUGGAGAGCUAAGUGAGGGUGAGGCAGGCAAUCGAGAGGACACCCACACACCUUCUGAGAUGGUGGCUAGAGGAGAUUUGAAGGACCAACAUGUGCAGCAGAGGUAAGGGUGUAGACACUGAGCACUUCCUAAUUUAGGUACUCUGGCCAUCCAGGCUCUGCCAUGUGAAAUGAGGUAGAAAGUUGCCUUUGCAGCUAAAGGUGGUGGUGUUAGUAAAUGAAAGGCUUGGGCCAGCUUGCUGCUGUGUAAAUUUUUUAUACACAGAUUUUUUACAGUCACAUUUCUGGCAGACAUGUAGGUGUGUUUCAACAGUGAACAGAACACCUUUUAGAGAAUAAAUCACCUGGUAGCAUUUAUUUGAAUGUCCCUUGCCCUAAAACAUUUUAACAACCCUGUCAUUUAUUUCUUCCAAAUCAUCUAUCAUUUAUCCUCUCCUGGCUGAGGCCACAUUUAUCCACAGGCCUGGCUAUGAUAAGCCAUCAGAGGUGACAGCACAGAGUUCUGGGACCAGAAGGGUCCAUACUGCCUUGUUUAAGCUGUUUUCCGUUGUUGAACAGGAGAUGCGUGUCACCAGAAUUCCGUGGAUCGUUAACAGGUGAUGGAGAAGUGAGUCUAGAAUUAGAGUGAAAGAUGUGACAGAUGAGAAAGAGGGAGCAGAGGAAGGAAGAGGAAAGACAGAGAAGAGAGGAGGGACAGACAGUGGAAAACGCAAGGAGUUCACAGAAGCAAGGAAGAGAGAAGAGAAAAGGGAAGAAAAAACAGAGAAGGAAGAAGACGGGACAAGAGUGGGGGAAGAAAAAGAUAGGAGGGAG